CAGUAGCCGCGGGAACACGAAGGGGGCUAGCGUUGCUCGGAAUUACUGGGCGUAAAGGGAGCGUAGGCGGGUUAUCAAGUUGGAGGUGAAAGCCCAGGGCUCAACCUUGGAAUUGCCUUCAAAACUGAUAGCCUAGGGUAUGAUAGAGGUAAGUGGAACUCCGAGUGUAGAGGUGAAAUUCGUAGAUAUUCGGAAGAACACCAGUGGCGAAGGCGACUUACUGGAUCAUGACUGACGCUGAGGCUCGAAAGCGUGGGGAGCAAACAGGAUUAGAUACCCCUGUAGUCCCUGUCUCUUAUAC
This 301-nucleotide ribosomal RNA is filed under the name uncultured bacterium. Its description in RNAcentral is "partial 16S ribosomal RNA". It matches the Rfam family "Bacterial small subunit ribosomal RNA", at positions 509 to 807 of the family's 1533-position model. The record is from RNAcentral.